RNAcentral lists this long non-coding RNA (477 nucleotides) under Betta splendens (Siamese fighting fish). RNAcentral describes it as "lncRNA (ENSBSLG00000026706.1)". The record is from RNAcentral. Lineage: Eukaryota; Metazoa; Chordata; Actinopteri; Anabantiformes; Osphronemidae.
GUGUAAUGGGACGUUCGGUUAAUUCGGUGUCGUCAUAAAAUGUUCAGAUAGUGCGUUAACAAUCAGUCAGUACAGCGACGUGAACGUCUAAGCAGACGAGGAAGCCGCCUACAUUACCCAUGAUGCUGUGCUGGAGAAGCACCUUAAAGACACGCCCACCUCAUAACCGGUCAAACAAAUGAAAAUGGCGCGUGCUGCUCACCUGUGAAAGUGUCAGAGCAGUUUUUCGUCUCGUACCGACCAGAUCACAAAGGAUCCUGAUGGUUCGUAACAAUCGCUGCUUUCUGGGACCGUGUGUGGAACCUCCCUGGGUCAGACCGGGCCCAGCAGAGGCCUGAGGAUAAUGAGACUCUCCAGUCAAUUCCAUAAUGGCUUCCUGAGAAGUCAGCACAGCUGUGCACGGCUGCCUAGAGAUUUGGGACGUGGCUACGAGGCUUCUGUGCAAGUAGCUUCCUGAUGUCAGCGUGAGACGAGGGC